AUUGAACGCUGGCGGCAUGCUUUACACAUGCAAGUCGAACGGUAACAGGCCUUCGGGUGCUGACGAGUGGCGAACGGGUGAGUAAUGCAUCGGAACGUGCCCAGAGGUGGGGAAUAACGCAGCGAAAGCUGUGCUAAUACCGCAUGUGAUCUGAGGAUGAAAGCGGGGGACCAAGCAGCAAUGUUUGGCCUCGCGCCUCUGGAGCGGCCGAUGUCAGAUUAGGUAGUUGGUGGGGUAAAGGCCUACCAAGCCGACGAUCUGUAGCUGGUCUGAGAGGACGACCAGCCACACUGGGACUGAGACACGGCCCAGACUCCUAAGGGAGGCAGCAGUGGGGAAUUUUGGACAAUGGGCGCAAGCCUGAUCCAGCAAUGCCGCGUGCGGGAAGAAGGCCUUCGGGUUGUAAACCGCUUUUGUACGGAACGAAAAGGCUCUGGCUAAUACCUGGGGCUGAUGACGGUACCGUAAGAAUAAGCACCGGCUAACUACGUG
Molecule: ribosomal RNA, 492 nt
Filed under: uncultured bacterium
Lineage: Bacteria
Description: partial 16S ribosomal RNA
Rfam family: Bacterial small subunit ribosomal RNA
Source: RNAcentral